GGGGUGUGGGAUGUUCUGCGAUGUUGGUUCUUGCUUACGCGAGGGCAUGUGAGUGGUACCGUGGAUGUUUGUGUUUGCUGGCUCAAUGCUUUGGCGUUGAACGGUUUGCAUAUGAUCCUGAUCAUUUUUCGUUGUUGNCUUCGUGUCUUCGAUGUUUGUCCGUUGUUCCUGUUCGGUUUACCUCUAAGUUGGUACGCUAGUGGCUUGUUAGACUUUGAACCAUCCCACACCAUUGCUUGGUGUUGCGGUGGCUUUUGCAUUUACACGUAUGCUCCGCUUAGAUCUCCUACGUGGUGUCUUUUUGCGGUGCGCAUGUAUUCAUUGAUUUCUCGGACGCGGUGCUUGAGAUGACCUUUGGAUUUUCCAUUUGUGUCCCUAAUUAAUUAAUGGUUGCCUUAAAUUAUGCCUGCUCUAUCGGUUGUUUUGCUCCCCUUUCGUGGGCUCAAAACUUUCAUGAUGUUGCAGAGUCAUUAAUGGAUG
This 480-nucleotide unclassified non-coding RNA is filed under the name Medicago granadensis. The record is from RNAcentral. Lineage: Eukaryota; Viridiplantae; Streptophyta; Magnoliopsida; Fabales; Fabaceae.